UACGAAGGGUGCAAGCGUUACUCGGAAUUACUGGGCGUAAAGCGCACGUAGGCGGCUUUGCAAGUUAGAGGUGAAAGCCCGGGGCUCAACCCCGGAAUUGCCUUUAAAACUGCAUCGCUAGAAUUGUGGAGAGGUAAGUGGAAUUCCGAGUGUAGAGGUGAAAUUCGUAGAUAUUCGGAAGAACACCAGUGGCGAAGGCGACUUACUGGACACAUAUUGACGCUGAGGUGCGAAAGCGUGGGGAGCAAACAGG
Molecule: ribosomal RNA, 253 nt
Filed under: uncultured bacterium
Lineage: Bacteria
Description: partial 16S ribosomal RNA
Rfam family: Bacterial small subunit ribosomal RNA
Source: RNAcentral